This is a long non-coding RNA of Sycon ciliatum, 932 nucleotides long. RefSeq lists it as uncharacterized. The transcript has 3 exons. NCBI's taxonomy places the organism in Eukaryota, Metazoa, Porifera, Calcarea, Leucosolenida, Sycettidae. The record is from RefSeq and is a predicted model, not a curated record.
CUCCACCGAACCAGUUGUCAGUGGCAACAUAUAGGAAUCGUGUACAUUUCUUCGUUUCUUCUUUGCUGUUUUCAGUGAGUGUUUUGUUUUCUCUUUGUCCUUGAUCUCGACGGCGUUGUCGUGCUCAUUACCUUACUGAGACUUCUCUUGUGACUGUAGCCAGUGUCACGGAGGAUUUUAUUGGCGUGACGAGGUAGAUCGCCGAGAUCGAGCGUGAAAAACGCUCUGCAUUAGUAGCUCCUGUAGAAUGUCUUCUGGGAUGGCGUAUCCAUGGUCAACAAAGCCAAGGUGCAAGACAGCAUAAGAGAUCGUGUAAACGAUGUGAACUCCAAAAGAUAAUCUGGACAAAUAAAUUAUAUUGUAACUGGAGAGUGCAAUCGUGCUUGGGACCCAUCCCAAUGUCAUCACAUGGCUGUGGUGACUAGUGUAUACUUGGGAGAGAUUUUCCUCAACUGAGACGGAGUGUAGCUGGAUGGAUUAUGAGAAAUGCGAAGAUGUGGAGUUCAAGGCUAGAUGCACUUCACAUUCGGCGUGCGAUCUCGGCGUCUGGGACCUGACAACGUCUUGGUUGGAUGGGUAAUCAAGGAUGAUACUACUCGGCACACCAAUGUACAUGUCAAUGUAAUUUUUACUUUUUCAGAGCUGCACUAUUUACGUCUUGAUGCUUACUUCGGUGCUAGCGUGUUUCCCCGGAUUAUUUCUAUCAUCAUGCGUGUUCUUGGGCUGAGCGAGCACAUGCACGAGUGUGCAGCUAUAGCCCUGUGUAUCUUUGGUGACACUUUGUUCUGCAAUGCAUGUACCUUGUAACAGUAUGUGCUUGCACUGCUUUGUGUGGCCUGCGUAUUUCAGGACUAUUCAGUGCAUUAGACCCAGGUUGGUUUGGUUGCCGGAUGAUCUCUUGUUGCAACGCUCUGUGUUUUGUAUUCAUCAAU